CGCGGUUUUAAUAGAGCAAGGGAUCCACCUGUACCCAUGCCGAACACAGAAGUUAAGCCUUGCAUCGCCGAAGGUACUCGGAGGGCGACCUCCCGGGAGAUUAGGACGAAGCCGCAC
Clostridiales bacterium is the source of this 117-nucleotide non-coding RNA. Lineage: Bacteria; Bacillati; Bacillota; Clostridia; Eubacteriales. The record is from Rfam.